Molecule: long non-coding RNA, 304 nt
Filed under: Physcomitrium patens
Lineage: Eukaryota; Viridiplantae; Streptophyta; Bryopsida; Funariales; Funariaceae
Description: long non-coding RNA (PPAT_LNC012789)
Source: RNAcentral
AGUAACAUGCAGGUAAAGCAAUCACUUUAAUAUUUCUUAAGUAACACUUUUGCCCUGCAUCAAAGAUGUGUUUACUCAAGAAAUACUCUACUGUGGAAUAAAUAUAUUGACUUGCUGUAAGAAGUUAGCUUCUAUAGUGGUACAAGAAUUGAAUGCAAUACUUAUAAUGGACAAAAAUCAUGCUAUAUAGCACCCUAAAAUCUAAUAAAUUUGGCAAAAAAAUUGGAAGCAGCUUCAUGAAUUUAAGAUAGAUGAAAGAGUUUGAAUUUUUUCUUAGUUCCAAUUAUUUUUAGAACAAGACCAC